CACCUCUGGGACUGCUAAUAAAGUUGAUUAAAGUAACAGAGCUCAGAGGUGCUAUGUUUCACAUACAUGUAAGUCAGGUCUUGAGUAGACCCCAAAUUAUUAUUAUUAUUAUUAUUAUUUUUGAGACAGAGUCUUGCUCUGUUGCCCAGGCUGCAGUGCAGUGGCGGUAUCUCGGCUCACUGCAAGCUCUGCCUCCCGGGUCACGCCAUUCUCCUGCCUCGGCCUCCCGAGAAGCUGGGACUACAGGCGCCCGCCACCACGCCCGGCUAAUUUUUUGCAUUUUUUAGUAGGGACGGGGUUUCACAGUGUUAGCCAGGAUGGUCUUGAUCUCCUGACCUCGUGAUCCACCUGCCUCGGCCUCCCAAAGUGCUGAGAUUGCAGGUGUGAGCCACCGCGCCCGGCCUGUUUUUUUAAUAAGCUGUCUAGAGUUGGAAUUUUUUUCCCCAUAGAAAUAACCAGUUAUAUUCUCAACUCAUAAGUGGGAGCUGAGCUAUGAGGAUGCAAAGGUGUAAGAAUGAUACAACGGACUUUGGGGACUCAGGGGAAAGGGUGGGAGGGGAGUGAGGGAUAAAAGACUACACAAUGGGUACAGUGUACACUGCUCCCGUAAUGGGUGCACCAAAAUCACAGAAAUCACCACUAAACCAAACACCACCUGUUCCCCAUAAACCUAUUAAACAAACAAAAAAAAAAAAAACAAAGAAAGAAAGAAUGAAAGAAAGAUAUCCCAGAAACUUUUUUUUUUUUUUUUUGAGACAGGGUCUCACUCCGUCACCCAGGCCGGAGUGCAAUGGUGCAAUCUUGGCUCACGGCAGCCUUGACCUCUUGGGCUCAAGCAAUCCUCCAUCUCAGCCUCCUGAGUAGCUGGAACCACAGGCGUGUGCCACCAUGCCCGACUAAUUUUUGUAUUUUUGGCAGAGAAAGGGUUUCGUCAUGUCGCCCAGGCUGGUCUCAAACUCAGCAGCUCACAUAAUUUACCCACCUUGGCUUUCCAAAUUGCUGGAAUUACAGGCCUGAGCCAGUAUGCCUGGCCCCAAGAACUUUUGAUCAAUUAUCUUUUUAAAAAUGGCUUUGUUCCCAUGUGAGCGGAUCUUCUCCUACACUCUACCCUUUGUUCCAUCCGAUCCAUUGUCAACACCUGCAUCAUCAAUGCAUUCUAAAUUCACAGAGUUGAUGAAACAAGAUCUCCACUUUAUUCGUCAAAAUUGUCUUGGCUACUCCAGGCCCUAUGUUCUUUCAGAAGAAUUUCAGGAUUGUUCUAUCAUAACCCUAGAUUAAUUUGAGAACUGAUAAUUUGUUCUUCUAUUAGUCUUUCAAUAUGUUAUUCAACUUUCCCAUAUGUCUUGUACAUCUUUUGAUUUAUUCCCAGUUACUAUAACUCAUGCCUAUAAAAUUUUCUAAAUGAUUAUUAUGAAUAAUGGAACACUUACAAUAAAAUGUUCUCAUAUCUAAGGAUCUUGCUUAACCCUUUGAUUAGCAGUUUAUCUGUUGAGUCUUUAAAACU
Molecule: long non-coding RNA, 1504 nt
Filed under: Homo sapiens (human)
Lineage: Eukaryota; Metazoa; Chordata; Mammalia; Primates; Hominidae
Description: non-protein coding lnc-RNF113B-8:1
Source: RNAcentral